This 253-nucleotide ribosomal RNA is filed under the name uncultured bacterium. RNAcentral's name for it is "partial 16S ribosomal RNA". It matches the Rfam family "Bacterial small subunit ribosomal RNA", at positions 524 to 776 of the family's 1533-position model. The record is from RNAcentral.
UACAGAGGGGGCAAGCGUUGUUCGGAAUUACUGGGCGUAAAGGGCGCGUAGGCGGCCGCCUAAGUCAGACGUGAAAUCCCUCGGCUCAACCGGGGAACUGCGUCUGAUACUGGGUGGCUUGAAUCCGGGAGAGGGAUGUGGAAUUCCAGGUGUAGCGGUGAAAUGCGUAGAUAUCUGGAGGAACAUCGGUGGCGAAGGCGGCAUCCUGGACCGGUAUUGACGCUGAGGCGCGAAAGCCAGGGGAGCAAACGGG